This 77-nucleotide microRNA precursor is filed under the name Salicornia europaea (common glasswort). RNAcentral's name for it is "miR11038 stem-loop (seu-MIR11038)". Lineage: Eukaryota; Viridiplantae; Streptophyta; Magnoliopsida; Caryophyllales; Amaranthaceae. The record is from miRBase by way of RNAcentral.
CCGCCCUAUCGGGUUGGCCAACCCGAUCGGGUCAGCUCCCACCCGACCGGUCGGGUCACCCAACCCGAUCGGGUUGA